This 226-nucleotide long non-coding RNA is filed under the name Elaeis guineensis (African oil palm). RNAcentral describes it as "long non-coding RNA (EGUI_LNC037644)". Lineage: Eukaryota; Viridiplantae; Streptophyta; Magnoliopsida; Arecales; Arecaceae. The record is from RNAcentral.
GGGUUAUAUAUAGACGCAUAGGGGUUGUUUAUUGGUCUCUAGUAUGUGGCAUUUACCUGUGCACAUCCAUUCUCUAUUUGGUUCAUCAGGAAGGGACAUUUCUCAAGAACAUAUUCUGGUAUACUACAUGCAUUGCACAUAAGUGCAGAAACUUAGUUCACACUGGCUGGUCUCUGUAGCUCUAAAGCCUCUAACCUACGUGCUAAAAUUAUGAUUUUGGCCUCUG